GACCACGUAGCUCAGUCGGACAGAGCGAUAGCUUCCGAAGCUAUAGGCCGAAGGUUCGAGUCCUUCCGUGGUCACCA
RNAcentral lists this transfer RNA (77 nucleotides) under Aquisphaera giovannonii. RNAcentral describes it as "tRNA-Arg". It matches the Rfam family "tRNA". Rfam says of the family: Transfer RNA (tRNA) molecules are approximately 80 nucleotides in length. Their secondary structure includes four short double-helical elements and three loops (D, anti-codon, and T loops). Lineage: Bacteria; Pseudomonadati; Planctomycetota; Planctomycetia; Isosphaerales; Isosphaeraceae. The record is from RNAcentral.